Molecule: long non-coding RNA, 292 nt
Organism: Prionailurus viverrinus (fishing cat)
Lineage: Eukaryota; Metazoa; Chordata; Mammalia; Carnivora; Felidae
Exons: 3
Source: RefSeq, a predicted model, not a curated record
GGACUCCAUCCUGGGCACGGGGCGCGGGUAACGAAUCAACUUGCACUGCAGCUCUGACUGGCGUCCUUAUCUAUGUGACAACACGUAAAGCAGCUCCUUGAUCAGACCUGCAAUUUUUGAAUGAUGAAGCAGAAUUUUAGAUAAUUAUGCCAGUUCAGUUGCAGCACGGGAGCCUGGUGCAAGAGUUGAAAGGAAAGAAGAACAAAGGAAAGAUCUUCACAGUAUCAAAAGUAAAGAAUUGAAAAACAAGAACAAAAACAAAACCAAACACAAAGAGAGCAGUGUUGGGCCA